Molecule: ribosomal RNA, 207 nt
Filed under: uncultured bacterium
Lineage: Bacteria
Description: partial 16S ribosomal RNA
Rfam family: Bacterial small subunit ribosomal RNA
Source: RNAcentral
GAUCAUGGCUCAGGAUGAACGCUGGCGGCGUGCUUAACACAUGCAAGUCGAACGGACGAUGAAGAGCUUGCUCUUCAGAGUUAGUGGCGGACGGAUGAGUAACGCGUGGGUAACCUGCCUCAUACAGGGGGAUAGCAGCUGGAAACGGCUGAUAAAACCGCAUAAGCGCACAGCAUCGCAUGAUGCAGUGUGAAAAACUCCGGUGGU